CCCUUAGAUGUCCUGGGCCGCACGCGCGUUACACUGAUGCAUUCAACGAGCUUAUAACCUUGGCCGAGAGGCCUGGGCAAUCUUGUUAACGUGCAUCGUGAUAGGGAUAGAUUAUUGAAAUUAUUAAUCUUGAACGAGGAAUUCCUAGUAAACGCAGAUCAUCAAUCUGCAUUGAUUACGCCCCUGCCCUUUGUACACACCGCCCGUCGCUACUACUGAUUGGACGUUUAAGCAAGAUUUUUAAACACUGACAGUGUGUAGUUCACGCUAUACUACAGUGAGAAGAAGAAGAUCGAGCUUACUUGUCUAGAGGAAGUAAAAGUCGUAACA
This 330-nucleotide ribosomal RNA is filed under the name uncultured eukaryote. Its description in RNAcentral is "partial 18S ribosomal RNA". It matches the Rfam family "Eukaryotic small subunit ribosomal RNA", at positions 1470 to 1796 of the family's 1831-position model. The record is from RNAcentral.